GAUGAACGCUAGCUACAGGCUUAACACAUGCAAGUCGAGGGGAAACGACAUCGAAAGCUUGCUUUUGAUGGGCGUCGACCGGCGCACGGGUGAGUAACGCGUAUCCAACCUGCCCAUCACUUGGGAAUAACCUUGCGAAAGUAAGACUAAUACCCAAUGAUAUCCCACGAAGGCAUCGGAAUGGGAUUAAAGAUUUAUCGGUGAUGGAGGGGGAUGCGUCUGAUUAGCUUGUUGGCGGGGUAACGGCCCACCAAGGCAACGAUCAGUAGGGGUUCUGAGAGGAAGGUCCCCCACAUUGGAACUGAGACACGGUCCAAACUCCUACGGGAGGCAGCAGUGAGGAAUAUUGGUCAAUGGGCGAGAGCCUGAACCAGCCAAGUAGCGUGCAGGAAGACGGCCCUAUGGGUUGUAAACUGCUUUUAUAAGGGAAUAAAGUGGGUCACGUGUGACUUUUUGCAUGUACCUUAUGAAUAAGGACCGGCUAAUUCCGUG
Molecule: ribosomal RNA, 492 nt
Filed under: uncultured bacterium
Lineage: Bacteria
Description: partial 16S ribosomal RNA
Rfam family: Bacterial small subunit ribosomal RNA
Source: RNAcentral